AUGCAGCGACGCCGCGUGAGGGAUGACGGCCUUCGGGUUGUAAACCUCUUUCAGCAGGGAAGAAGCGAAAGUGACGGUACCUGCAGAAGAAGCGCCGGCUAACUACGUGCCAGCAGCCGCGGUAAUACGUAGGGCGCAAGCGUUGUCCGGAAUUAUUGGGCGUAAAGAGCUCGUAGGCGGCUUGUCACGUCGGAUGUGAAAGCCCGGGGCUUAACCCCGGGUCUGCAUUCGAUACGGGCUAGCUAGAGUGUGGUAGGGGAGAUCGGAAUUCCUGGUGUAGCGGUGAAAUGCGCAGAUAUCAGGAGGAACACCGGUGGCGAAGGCGGAUCUCUGGGCCAUUACUGACGCUGAGGAGCGAAAGCGUGGGGAGCGAACAGGAUUAGAUACCCUGGUAGUCCACGCCGUAAACGUUGGGAACUAGGUGUUGGCGACAUUCCACGUCGUCGGUGCCGCAGCUAACGCAUUAAGUUCCCCGCCUGGGGAGUACGGCCGCAAGGCUAAAACUCAAAGGAAUUGACGGGGGCCCGCACAAGCAGCG
RNAcentral lists this ribosomal RNA (538 nucleotides) under Streptomyces sp. AP31. RNAcentral's name for it is "bacterial SSU rRNA". It matches the Rfam family "Bacterial small subunit ribosomal RNA", at positions 386 to 934 of the family's 1533-position model. Lineage: Bacteria; Bacillati; Actinomycetota; Actinomycetes; Kitasatosporales; Streptomycetaceae. The record is from RNAcentral.